AAGCAUUCACAACUAAUCUCUCAAAACACACAUAGAUGGCUAUUUAUACAAAAGAAAACAAGAUGCUUGUCAAGAGUCCCCCUCCUACUUCUUACUAUGGUCCAAUCAAUUGGAUCGACUUGCCCUUAUUUUCUACGAUUGGUCAUGAUGAGAUAUCCUACUAAUUAGAUCUAACAACCAGUCUUUACUACCACAGUCACUAAUCCCAUCUAUAU
RNAcentral lists this long non-coding RNA (215 nucleotides) under Physcomitrium patens. Its description in RNAcentral is "long non-coding RNA (PPAT_LNC003271)". Lineage: Eukaryota; Viridiplantae; Streptophyta; Bryopsida; Funariales; Funariaceae. The record is from RNAcentral.